This 377-nucleotide ribosomal RNA is filed under the name uncultured eukaryote. RNAcentral describes it as "partial 18S ribosomal RNA". It matches the Rfam family "Eukaryotic small subunit ribosomal RNA", at positions 592 to 975 of the family's 1831-position model. The record is from RNAcentral.
CAAUAGCGUAUAUUAAAGUUGUUGCAGUUAAAAAGCUCGUAGUUGGAUUUGUGGUUCGUCCCGCCGGCUGGGUCAUUGACUUUUGCUGUGCUGGUCGUCCAUCCUUGGGUGGAAUCUGUGUGGCAUUAGGUUGUCGCGCAGGGGAUGCCCAUCGUUUACUGUGAAAAAAUUAGAGUGUUCAAAGCAGGCUUAUGCCGUUGAAUAUAUUAGCAUGGAAUGAUGAUAUAGGACCUUGGUACUAUUUUGUUGGUUUGCGCACUGAGGUAAUGAUUAAUAGGGACAGUUGGGGGUAUUCGUAUUCCAUUGUAAGAGGUGAAAUUCUUGGAUUUUUGGAAGACGAACUACUGCGAANGNAUUUACNAAGGAUGUUUNCAUUA